GACGAACGCUGGCGGCGUGCUUAACACAUGCAAGUCGAGCGGUAAGGCCCCUUCGGGGGUACACGAGCGGCGAACGGGUGAGUAACACGUGGGUGACCUGCCCUCAGCUCUGGGAUAAGCCUGGGAAACUGGGUCUAAUACCGGAUAUGACUCCAUGACGCAUGUCGUGGGGUGGAAAGCCUUGUGCGGCUGGGGAUGGGCCCGCGGCCUAUCAGCUUGUUGGUGGGGUGAUGGCCUACCAAGGCGACGACGGGUAGCCGGCCUGAGAGGGCGACCGGCCACACUGGGACUGAGACACGGCCCAGACUCCUACGGGAGGCAGCAGUGGGGAAUCUUGCGCAAUGGGCGAAAGCCUGACGCAGCGACGCCGCGUGAAGGAUGAAAUCCUUCGGGAUGUAAACUUCGCAAAUAUGGGAAGAACACAAUGACGGUACCAUAUGUAAG
Molecule: ribosomal RNA, 444 nt
Filed under: uncultured bacterium
Lineage: Bacteria
Description: bacterial SSU rRNA
Rfam family: Bacterial small subunit ribosomal RNA
Source: RNAcentral